This 253-nucleotide ribosomal RNA is filed under the name uncultured bacterium. Its description in RNAcentral is "partial 16S ribosomal RNA". It matches the Rfam family "Bacterial small subunit ribosomal RNA", at positions 524 to 776 of the family's 1533-position model. The record is from RNAcentral.
UACGUAGGGGGCAAGCGUUGUCCGGAUUUAUUGGGCGUAAAGAGCGUGUAGGCGGCCUGAAAGGUCAGCUGUGAAAACUCGAGGCUUAACCUCGAGCUGUCGGCGGAAACCAUCUGGCUAGAGUCCGGAAGAGGAGAAUGGAAUUCCCGGUGUAGCGGUGAAAUGCGCAGAUAUCGGGAAGAACACCCGUGGCGAAGGCGGUUCUCUGGGACGGUACUGACGCUGAGACGCGAAAGCGUGGGGAGCGAACAGG